RNAcentral lists this transfer RNA (72 nucleotides) under Callorhinchus milii (elephant shark). RNAcentral's name for it is "tRNA-Gly (TCC) (tRNA-Gly-TCC-6-1)". It matches the Rfam family "tRNA". From Rfam's summary of the family: Transfer RNA (tRNA) molecules are approximately 80 nucleotides in length. Their secondary structure includes four short double-helical elements and three loops (D, anti-codon, and T loops). The record is from Rfam by way of RNAcentral. Lineage: Eukaryota; Metazoa; Chordata; Chondrichthyes; Chimaeriformes; Callorhinchidae.
AGUCCUGUAGCUCAGUGGUAAGAGCGCUCGCUUUCCAAGCGAGAGACCUGGGUUUGAUUCCCGGCAGGGUGA